RNAcentral lists this ribosomal RNA (253 nucleotides) under uncultured bacterium. RNAcentral's name for it is "partial 16S ribosomal RNA". It matches the Rfam family "Bacterial small subunit ribosomal RNA", at positions 524 to 776 of the family's 1533-position model. The record is from RNAcentral.
UACGAAGGGGGCUAGCGUUGCUCGGAAUUACUGGGCGUAAAGGGCGCGUAGGCGGCUGUUCCAGUCAGAUGUGAAAUUCCUGGGCUCAACCUGGGGGCUGCAUUUGAUACGUGAUGGCUGGAGUGGGGAAGAGGGUCGUGGAAUUCCCAGUGUAGAGGUGAAAUUCGUAGAUAUUCGCAAGAACACCAGUGGCGAAGGCGGCUCACUGGCCCGAUACUGACGCUGAGGCACGAAAGCGUGGGGAGCAAACAGG